GCCUUCGUGGUGUAACGGUAGCACACUUGGUAUGCUACACUCCCAUAUUCCAGAGGUCCAGGUUCGAGUCCCAGUGAGGGCA
Molecule: transfer RNA, 82 nt
Filed under: Stegodyphus mimosarum
Lineage: Eukaryota; Metazoa; Arthropoda; Arachnida; Araneae; Eresidae
Rfam family: tRNA
About the family: Transfer RNA (tRNA) molecules are approximately 80 nucleotides in length.
Source: Rfam by way of RNAcentral